GGUCCUUCCUGUCACCUUUCUUUUUCCCAUCAUUCCUGGUUUGACCGUAUCCGGAGAAGGCAGCAGGAGUGCCCGUGGACUCUUGCAGCUGGAAUUCCCACUGGAGAGGAUUUAGAUACUGGCUUGAUAGUCCACUGUAAGCCUGGUGGGAGGCUGGGGCUGCCCACUUGUCAAGCGGGAAAACAGGCACCGGAUGUGAGUGCCCAGCCAAGGUCACCUCCAGUCUCCAGAGGACUCCUGCCGGCCUGGCGAUGAGUCAUGCUGGAGCUUGCUCCGGGGUGAAAUCACAAAGGAAGCGAGGCUUGGAUUGAUUGCAGGCGGCAGGGAAGUUUCCUGUUCUGGAGCUACCUCAGCAACACCACCUCCUCCACCUGCAGGGCCUUGCUGUCUUCAGUAACACUGGAAGGAAGGAAGAUCCUUGAUACUUUGAUGAAAAGGCUGAGGCUCUGAGAGGUCACGUGGUCAUGCACAACUUCCAGAAACAGAAGACACUGAUGAUAAAGUGAUACAUAUGAGCAGUUGCAGCGUUUUGCAAAAGGAGACUGCACAAAUUUAAGCAUUUCCAUCGGACGCUUCUGCUUCAAAUCUUGGAGGAACCGGUCUGAGGUGCAGAUCUACAUCCGGGAGCCAAUGGCAUGUAGGAGGUAGCUAAAGCCCUGACGCUGGAUACCAUCAUGCAGAGAGAAUGUGGAAUGAGAAGUAAGUCGAGGAAGUAUUGGGAUUUUUAGAUAUGGAGGAAGGGAACUCCAUGCAGGAGCUGAAACAGAAGGAGCUGGGGUGAAAGAAGAACUUGAAAUCUCAAGAGCUAGUGGGGCCGGAGUUGGAGAUGGUGCUCAUGGGUCCAAUGCAGCAGCAGCGUGGGCAGAGAAGGAUCCAAAAGAGACAAGGCACUGGGAGAUGAGUUGUGGGUACUCUGAGGAGCCUUGCUUUGUGGCAUUGUAAGGGAAGAAGCCCGAGGAUGGUGGGUUUAGUAAGGAUGAGAGGUGUUAUGGUUUAGGUGAGGUGUCCCCUAAAAGCUCACAUGUGAGACAACACAGGAAGGUUCAGAGGGGAGGUGACUGGGUUACAACCUUAACCUCAUCAGUGAAUUAAUCCCUUAUGGGAUUAACUGAGUGGAAACUGGAGACAGGUGGGGUGUGGCUAGAGGAAGAGGUUCAUUGGGGGCACGGCUAUGGCGUAUAUGUUUUGUAUCUGAAGAGUGGACUCCCUUUCUCUGCCUUUCUGAUCAUCAUAUGAGCU
Sciurus carolinensis (gray squirrel) is the source of this 1239-nucleotide long non-coding RNA. RefSeq lists it as uncharacterized. The transcript has 5 exons. Lineage: Eukaryota; Metazoa; Chordata; Mammalia; Rodentia; Sciuridae. The record is from RefSeq and is a predicted model, not a curated record.